This 488-nucleotide ribosomal RNA is filed under the name Micromonospora aurantiaca (nom. illeg.). RNAcentral's name for it is "bacterial SSU rRNA". It matches the Rfam family "Bacterial small subunit ribosomal RNA", at positions 1 to 507 of the family's 1533-position model. The record is from RNAcentral. Lineage: Bacteria; Bacillati; Actinomycetota; Actinomycetes; Micromonosporales; Micromonosporaceae.
UUGUUGGAGAGUUUGAUCCUGGCUCAGGACGAACGCUGGCGGCGUGCUUAACACAUGCAAGUCGAGCGGAAAGGCCCUUCGGGGUACUCGAGCGGCGAACGGGUGAGUAACACGUGAGCAACCUGCCCCAGGCUUUGGGAUAACCCCGGGAAACCGGGGCUAAUACCGAAUAUGACCUUGCAUCGCAUGGUGUUUGGUGGAAAGUUUUUCGGCUUGGGAUGGGCUCGCGGCCUAUCAGCUUGUUGGUGGGGUGAUGGCCUACCAAGGCGACGACGGGUAGCCGGCCUGAGAGGGCGACCGGCCACACUGGGACUGAGACACGGCCCAGACUCCUACGGGAGGCAGCAGUGGGGAAUAUUGCACAAUGGGCGGAAGCCUGAUGCAGCGACGCCGCGUGAGGGAUGACGGCCUUCGGGUUGUAAACCUCUUUCAGCAGGGACGAAGCGUAAGUGACGGUACCUGCAGAAGAAGCGCCGGCCAACUACGUG